RNAcentral lists this ribosomal RNA (497 nucleotides) under uncultured bacterium. Its description in RNAcentral is "partial 16S ribosomal RNA". It matches the Rfam family "Bacterial small subunit ribosomal RNA", at positions 28 to 507 of the family's 1533-position model. The record is from RNAcentral.
GAUGAACGCUGGCGGCGUGCCUAAUACAUGCAAGUCGAGCGAACAGACGAGGAGCUUGCUCCUCUGACGUUAGCGGCGGACGGGUGAGUAAAACGUGGAUAACCUACCUAUAAGACUGGGAUAACUUCGGGAAACCGGAGCUAAUACCGGAUAAUAUAUUGAACCGCAUGGUUCAAUAGUGAAAGACGGUUUUGCUGUCACUUAUAGAUGGAUCCGCGCCGCAUUAGCUAGUUGGUAAGGUAACGGCUUACCAAGGCAACGAUGCGUAGCCGAGCUGAGAGGGUGAUCGGCCACACUGGAACUGAGACACGGUCCAGACUCCUACGGGAGGCAGCAGUAGGGAAUCUUCCGCAAUGGGCGAAAGCCUGACGGAGCAACGCCGCGUGAGUGAUGAAGGUCUUCGGAUCGUAAAACUCUGUUAUUAGGGAAGAACAAAUGUGUAAGUAACUAUGCACGUCUUGACGGUACCUAAUCAGAAAGCCACGGCUAACUACGUG